GAUGAACGCUAGCUACAGGCUUAACACAUGCAAGUCGAGGGGUAGCAGGGUAGCAAUACCGCUGACGACCGGCGCACGGGUGAGUAACACGUAUCCAACCUUCCCAUAACUCGGGGAUAGCCUUUCGAAAGAAAGAUUAAUACCGGAUGGUACUUUUUCAAGGCAUCUUGAGAAAGUUAAAGAUUUAUUGGUUAUGGAUGGGGAUGCGUUCCAUUAGAUAGUUGGUGAGGUAACGGCUCACCAAGUCUUCAAUGGAUAGGGGUUCUGAGAGGAAGGUCCCCCACAUUGGUACUGAGAAACGGACCAAACUCCUACGGGAGGCAGCAGUGAGGAAUAUUGGUCAAUGGGCGAGAGCCUGAACCAGCCAAGUAGCGUGAAGGAUGAAGGUCCUACGGAUUGUAAACUUCUUUUAUAGUAGAAUAAAGUGAUCCACGUGUGGAUUUUUGUAUGUAUACUAUGAAUAAGGAUCGGCUAACUCCGUGCCAGCCGCCGCCGUAA
This 498-nucleotide ribosomal RNA is filed under the name uncultured bacterium. RNAcentral's name for it is "partial 16S ribosomal RNA". It matches the Rfam family "Bacterial small subunit ribosomal RNA", at positions 28 to 523 of the family's 1533-position model. The record is from RNAcentral.